Long non-coding RNA from Hemicordylus capensis (graceful crag lizard), 1221 nucleotides. RefSeq lists it as uncharacterized. The transcript is spliced from 3 exons. The record is from RefSeq and is a predicted model, not a curated record. Lineage: Eukaryota; Metazoa; Chordata; Lepidosauria; Squamata; Cordylidae.
ACAGCCUAGCUUGAACAUGAGCCACAUGAAUGAGGACCAAAUACAUAAGUGUCACCGUAUAUAUUCAGCAGACGGACUGGCUCCCAUGAGAACACAGAAGGACAGAGUGAGCUGAUAGAAGGCUCUGCGAGUCACCUUUCAGGUGGCAUGGAUGUGUGGCUGGGGAUGGUGGCCUCUGGGAUACACCAAUUAGAUUGCUGCCUGCCCACUGCAGGCCCUUCCAAGUUAUGAAAGCCAGCUUCAUGUCUGUUUCCAUUUGCCAAUUUUAUUGUUCUUAACAAAAUCAGGAGUUCAGAGUAUGACCGACUGCAGUGCUGCCAGAGAGGUCCAAGUACAGAAGGGGACACAGAUGAAACAUGUCCCCACCACCACCUUCUUCUGACAGAGCUGUCCUUUUUUGCCCUUUUAUUAGGAGGAGAAGGAGAACUACAGGCUGCUCCUUUACUGUGCCUGCCUUUCAGUAGCACAAACCAGGAGAGGGUUGGGAUCAGAGGGCUGAAACUGCUCAGAGCCAGAUGAGUCAGAUUGCAUGUGCUCCUCUUUCCUGCAGCAUCACAAGCAGUAGCAGUUGCUGAAAGUGAGAAAAUGCCACUCAAACAGCAGCAAACGUACCCACUGCUCUACCUGACAACAGGAGCAGCUACUACAGAUGAACUGGCAGGGGUGGGGGCAGAAAACAAUGCACAGAUGCAUUGCUCAUUCUCCUUCCCUGCUCUUCCCAGGCUGCCAAUCUCUCCUUCUUUGCUUGCUAUGCCCUUGCUGAAUGAUUUGUCAUUCACCUAGGAAUGAGGAAUAAGAAUCCCCAACAAUGAGGCUGGAUACCCUGUGGCUCAUUUCCCCUUCCCCCCGUUCCCCGCCUGAUACUCUGCCUCCUUAGGUCAUCUAUGAUGGGGGUGGCCCUGAUUGUUCUUUCCAGAGAAAGGAGGCGGAAGGAGUUGCAGAUGGACUCAGACUGCCUGAUGCUAAUGAUGCCAACCUACAAAAGGAAGAUGUACUGCCUUCUCCUUCAUUUCAUGAAACGUAAACAUGAUACAUAUCAGAAGCAGAGAAUUCCAGGAGUAUGUCAUAUAUUUUGAAUACCCUUUGAUUUUGCUGUCCAUAUAGAAUGGUGCAGGCUAUAUAAUUAUGCCUAUACUCUUUCUGUGGGAAAGGCAUUUCAAAAUUGUUUGCAUAAGGAAGGACAUUUCAAAAUUGUUUGGACGAGAAAAAGGGAGAAGAAGA